UACGUAGGGUGCAAGCGUUAAUCGGAGUUACUGGGCGUAAAGCGUGCGUAGGUGGUUUUUUAAGUCCGUUGUGAAAGCCCCGAGCUCAACUUGGGAAUUGCAGUGGAUACUGGCGAGCUGGAGUGCGGUAGAGGAAGGUGGAAUUCCCGGUGUAGCGGUGAAAUGCGUAGAGAUCGGGAGGAACACCAGUGGCGAAGGCGGCCUUCUGGACCAGCACUGACACUCAAGCACGAAAGCGUGGGGAGCAAACAGG
This 253-nucleotide ribosomal RNA is filed under the name uncultured bacterium. Its description in RNAcentral is "partial 16S ribosomal RNA". It matches the Rfam family "Bacterial small subunit ribosomal RNA", at positions 524 to 776 of the family's 1533-position model. The record is from RNAcentral.